UACGUAGGGCGCAAGCGUUAAUCGGAAUUACUGGGCGUAAAGCGUGCGCAGGCGGUUGUGCAAGACCGAUGUGAAAUCCCCGGGCUCAACCUGGGAAUUGCAUUGGAGACUGCAAGGCUAGAAUCUGGCAGAGGGGGGUAGAAUUCCACGUGUAGCAGUGAAAUGCGUAGAGAUGUGGAGGAACACCGAUGGCGAAGGCAGCCCCCUGGGUCAAGAUUGACGCUCAUGCACGAAAGCGUGGGGAGCAAACAGG
RNAcentral lists this ribosomal RNA (253 nucleotides) under uncultured bacterium. RNAcentral describes it as "partial 16S ribosomal RNA". It matches the Rfam family "Bacterial small subunit ribosomal RNA", at positions 524 to 776 of the family's 1533-position model. The record is from RNAcentral.